ACUUUUGUCACCGCCGAGACCCACCUCCACCACCACCAGCAACCAACACCACCAUUACCACUAAUCACUAAUUCACACAUUCGUAAAAAAAAUCAAAUUUUAUUUCAUAUUUUUGACCAAUUUUCCACUUUUGAUUUCGAUUUUGCAAUACAGAUUUCAGCGUCUCUUCUCGGUGGAGGUUGUUGUCACCGCCGACAACCUCACCACCACCACUACUACUAUCACCACCAGCACCAACAAUUUUUAUUAUAUAUUUGAAUUUCUCCAAUUUUGAUUUCAAUUGAUACACCAAAUUCGAAUUUAAAUUCAUACUCACCACCACCACCCUCCUCCUCCAACUCCCUCAAUUUCAAAUAGAAAACACUUAAAUUCAUAUAUCAUACGAUGUUUCGUACACAAACACUUCAAUUCAUACACCAAUUCUUAUUUCAGAUGUAAAGUUCAUCAAAUUAGUUACAGAUACAUAUGUUUUUCCACAUCGUCUCUUCUUAACUUCUACUACAGCUCUUUUACUUGUUUGUGGAAAUGCCUAAGAGAAGACCAUUGUUUAACUUCAAUCAACCCAUUUUUUUGUAGCUCUUUUAUUUGUACACCAAAUUUGAUACACAAAACACUUCAGUUCAUAUAAUGCUUCAAUACACAAACACUUUAAUUUGUACACCGAAAUUGAUUUUAAAUAUAAAGCUCGUCACAUAAUUUACAGGUACUUAUGUUGAAAUCUUUAAUGGAAAAUUGAAAUCAAAUUUGAUAUACAAAACACUUCAGUUCAUAUAAUGCUUCAAUACACAAACACUCCAAUUUGUACACCAAAUUUGAUUUCAGAUAUAAAGUUCAUCACAUAAUUUACAGAUGGAUUCAUCGCAAUAUAACGUCCGUUGAAGCCCGAGACUUAUGGCUGCAAGAUAGCCAAUCCCAGCGUCAGAAACAACUAUGGCGUGCUCAAUGCAAAGCAAAACAAGAGAAAUUGACCGAACAAUAAAAACAGGCGUUGAAUGCAAGAAGCUUUAUUUCCUAUCAAAAUCGGAAGACAAGAAUUAAUGAAGCCAGUACAAGUUCAAGUGUACAAGUUUAUGACUCGGGUGGAAAGCAUAAAGCAGAAUCAAGUUUGAUUCCUUGCCGAAGUCCUAGAGUUGAGCUUCAGUAGAGAGAACUUAAAUUAUAAAAACACUAUAUUGUAAUGAAGGAAAGACGAAGUUCCAUUAUUGAAAUUGAAAAGGAAGCACAUCUACAAAGACGUAGAAAUGCUUAUCAUCAUAUGAAGAAAACAAGAGGAAUUGAAAACACAAGUUGCAAUAAUAACUUUCAAGGUACUGCGAGAACAUUGAUUCCACGGCCCGAGAAUUUUAGAGCAAGUUAAGCACCGAGAUGUGGAUUUCGAGAAAGAAAGAGAUGGCCAUCAGGGAGUGACAGGAACAAGUUGCAGUUGAAACUCUCAAGGUGAAGCAGUGGCUUCGAUUCCAUGACAAAAUCCCAUGGUCCUCGAGCAAUUUCAGCAUGGUGUUGUGCACGCCGCAGAGAAUGAUAAAGAGGAAGAAGGAAAGACGUAUAACGAAAGAUGACGGGCAUUGAAGGAACAAAGGAAGUUUGAAAAACAAAAUAUGGGAGCAAUAUUACUAUGCCCAAGUUCAGCAUCAAGCUAAUGCAUCAUUCCCAUGUAAUGCAGCAGUAACAGUGGUCAUUCCCUCCCAAACCCCAGAUCUUGACUGCGAGGCAUCCCGAAAGAGAAAAGGAAAGUUUGUAGCACAUUGUAAUCGACCUCGGGGGGGAAAAGGUGAAGCGCAUAAAGCAGAAUCAAGUAAUUUGCAAUCGAGAUCGGAUGAAGUUGUACGGCAUCAUAUUCUUAUAAAAGAAAUAUUUUCCCAUUUGGAUUUGAGCCUUAAAUCGAAUAGAGAUGCAGAGCAAGCUCGAAUUGGAAGAUUAGCAUAACUCCGAAGAAACCGAAUAUUAUGGUAUGAAAAGUCAUUGCUCGAACGCUGUCGAAGUCCAAGAAUUGCACAAUAUCGAAUCCUCCGAGAGAACCUGAGUUGUGAUGGACUCAUUGAUGUACCAAUUACAUAUGCCUCAGGUGGACUAGGUAGCCUCUUUGACGUGCCAGUAGGGACUUCCUCAAGUGGAAUUCUCCGGUUGACAGUGAGUUCAGUAACAAGUGAACUAGACAACCUCUUUGACGUGUAGAUAACAUAUCCCUGUAAACCCCCUGCACUUUCAAAUUAUGCACGCCAGAGAAGAUACUAUGUAACACGUAUAAGGAAGCAAAGAAGUGUUACGCAUGUCAUGUAUAAUAAACUACAAAGAAACUGACAUUGUAGAAUUGCUCAAACAAAUAUUGACGGUAUACCAUCAAAUGCUCAAUCAAAUAUUGAUGAUAGACCAUCAAACGCUCAAAGGUUCAGAGAAACAAUGGAUAAGAUAAAAUGGGGUUUUUGUUUGGAAUGCAAAACGAUGUUCCCAGAUAUGUCACCUGAAGGGAUCUGUACGUUUUGUUAGACAGACAAAGACAAUCACUCAGAAGUUUUGUUGUUUAAUAAAGACAAUAAAAUGGUUCCAAGAGAUGUACCGGACGAGCUAUCCCGUUUAACCGAUCUUGAGAAUAUUUUGAUAGGUUGUGUCCAUACAGUAAUGUCGGUAUAUCGAAUCAAAGGCCAACAGUAUAAAUAUGGUGGUAAUGUUAUUAAUUUUGUACGAGAUGUGAAUGCGAUAGCUAAAGUACUUCCAUGUAAACCUAAAGAUCUAUCGGCAAUUUUGGUUGUGAAGGGAACUGGCAAUGUGUCAAUGGAAGAGUUUAUAGUUCGGCGGGAGUAUGUGCGGCAAGCUCUGAUGUGGCUGAGAGAAAAUCAUAAAUACUACCCAGAUAUAGAAAUUAGUGGGGAGAACAUCGAUACUUUUCCUGAGGAACGUGUUCCAUGUAACCUUCAAGUUAAAGAUGGAGGUAUUGGCCAACAGGGAAAUAGUAGUUCUUCGGCAGUAACAGUGAAGAUGAUGGUAUGAUGGACCUCCAGAGUUGCAAGAUCAGAGUGUCAGUAUCGAUGAGUUUGAAACUGUAUGCACAAUUGGAGUAACAGUGCAGCUAGAUCAGGAGAGGCACGUUAGAAAAGCUCUGGAGAAUGAUGAGAUAGAUAAGACCAACAUGGAUUUGUCGUUUACUGGUGAAGUAAUUAGUGAGUUUACAACAAAAGGGUAUAUCAACAUGGCGUUUCAGGCUUUAUUUCCUGACGGUUCUGCAGAUUUACAGCAACCAAGAGUUAGGAAAGUACCUGAACGUGUGUAUUUUCAGUACCUGAUGGGAUACCAUGGAGGGUGUUUCCCUCGUGACUCAAGAUUUUGAUAUUUUACUUUAAAUUCGCUGACCAGGUGGCGUGCAUUAUCUUUAGGAUCUGUUUACAUUAACAAGUACCCACAAGAUCAUAAACUCUUUAUUGAAAGUAUCCGAGAAAUGGUCUCAUCAGAGGACAUCUGGUUAAUUGGUCGUGUUUCUUAUGUUGUGCAACAGAUUCGUGGAUGCAAAGCUUAUUGGUAUAGUAUGCUAAAAGAGCUUAUAUCGAUGGUGAAUCAGUUGAGCCAACGUCCAUAUUCUUCACAAUUAGUGCAGCUGACCUCCAAUGGCCUGAACUCUACAUGCUCCUUGACCCGGAAAACAGGUUGGAAGCUUUAGAUUCAAUGAUAAAAUGAGAGAAAGGGAAAGGUUACUAAACGAUAAUUCGUUGGUUGUAUCAUGGUUCCAUAAAAGGGCAGAUAUAUGUAUUCUUCAAAGAGUUUUUGAAUAAAGAAUUUCCUUUGGUUGA
Papaver somniferum (opium poppy) is the source of this 3782-nucleotide long non-coding RNA. RefSeq lists it as uncharacterized. The record is from RefSeq and is a predicted model, not a curated record. Lineage: Eukaryota; Viridiplantae; Streptophyta; Magnoliopsida; Ranunculales; Papaveraceae. The transcript is spliced from 5 exons.